AUCCACUGGGAGUCCUUUUGCGUUUCAGAUGCUCCCAGGCUCUCCCGCAGUUUAAAGACUUAACUCAGCGGCUUUCAGGGCCUGUGGUUGAGGGACUCCGAAAGAACUGUUGCUGGUGGACCGGUUCAGGGUCUUGACUUCGCCACACAAAAGAACUUGAGAGCACGUCCAAAGUAAAGCUAAGACCUCUAGUACAGUGUUCAAUGGAACUGGUGAGAAAAGACGUCCUUGCUGUGUUCCUGAUAUGAAGAGGAAAGCAGUCCUUCUCCAUUAAGUAAAAUGCUGACAACAUGAGCCUCCCGUGGUCGGAACGGGCUUGUGAAGGCGGUGCUGGGGUGCACCAGGGCAGCAGCUACAGAGAUGACAGAAGAGACAUCCAGGAGUAGAUUUCAAUGCACAGCAGCAGCUGAGAGAAGCCAGCUGUGAAAAAGUUGCCAGGAGCAAAGCUACUGAGGCCCUGAAGAGCUCAUCAGGUGAUGACAGCGCCUGCUGGGAUGUCAGGGAAAAGAGGAGCUGGGGCCACUGGGCCUCUCUGACAAACAGAAAGCCAGGCCUGAAACCCGAGUAGCGUUUGUAUCCACCUCCCUCAGUCCAUGUGUGGCCGCCUGGCCGGCUGCUGUCUUAGUUCCUCCACGUGGCACUUGUUGAGCACCUGUCUCUGGCUGGAAUGCCGGGUGCCAGAAGAAACUCUGCAAGUAAAACUCAACCAUCCCAGGACACUGGAAAAUCACCACUGUGAUGGGCCAACUCUGGUUCCCAGUGACAUUGUAAGUUGCUCCCGAAUCGCCUUUUCCAAGGCUUAAUCGGCUGAAGUCGAUGUGCAGAAACUCAUCAACAGAACUUUCAGAAAGGAGAAGCGAAAAUGGGCUGCCCCGAAGAUGAGGUCUUGCACCUCGCCAAGUGGCUCCUAAAAGGCCACUUAUUGGAAGGAUCCCUGUCUUCUAAAGAAUUGAAAUUUCUUGGCCGGGCAUGUUGGCUCACGCCUGUAAUCCCAGCAAUUUGGGAGGCCAAAGCGGGUGGGUCACCUGAGGUCAGGAGUUCAAGACCAGCCUGGCCAACAUGGUGAAACCCCAUCUCUACUAAAAAUACAAAAAUUACCCGGGCAUGCUGGCAGGCACCUGUAAUCCUAGCUAAGGAGGCUGAGACAAGAGAAUUGCUUGAAUCUGGGAGGCGGAGGUUGCACUGAACCGAGAUUGUGCCAUUGCACUCCAGCCCGGGCUAAACUCUGUCUCAAAAAAAAAAAAAAAAAA
Homo sapiens (human) is the source of this 1250-nucleotide long non-coding RNA. Ensembl annotates it as MIR646 host gene. Its record names the gene MIR646HG. The record is from Ensembl. NCBI's taxonomy places the organism in Eukaryota, Metazoa, Chordata, Mammalia, Primates, Hominidae.